RNAcentral lists this ribosomal RNA (501 nucleotides) under uncultured bacterium. RNAcentral describes it as "partial 16S ribosomal RNA". It matches the Rfam family "Bacterial small subunit ribosomal RNA", at positions 30 to 523 of the family's 1533-position model. The record is from RNAcentral.
AUUGAACGCUGGCGGCAGGCUUAACACAUGCAAGUCGAGCGGGGGAAGGUAGCUUGCUACCGGACCUAGCGGCGGACGGGUGAGUAAUGCUUAGGAAUCUGCCUAUUAGUGGGGGACAACAUCUCGAAAGGGAUGCUAAUACCGCAUACGUCCUACGGGAGAAAGCAGGGGAUCUUCGGACCUUGCGCUAAUAGAUGAGCCUAAGUCGGAUUAGCUAGUUGGUGGGGUAAAGGCCUACCAAGGCGACGAUCUGUAGCGGGUCUGGGAGGAUGAUCCGCCACACUGGGACUGAGACACGGCCCAAACUCCUACGGGAGGCAGCAGUGGGGAAUAUUGGACAAUGGGGGGAACCCUGAUCCAGCCAUGCCGCGUGUGUGAAGAAGGCCUUAUGGUUGUAAAGCACUUUAAGCGAGGAGGAGGCUACUCUAGUUAAUACCUAGGGAUAGUGGACGUUACUCGCAGAAUAAGCACCGGCUAACUCUGUGCCAGCCGCCGCGGUAA